UACGGAGGAUCCAAGCGUUAUCCGGAAUUACUGGGCGUAAAGAGUUGCGUAGGUGGCGUAGUAAGUUGGUAGUGAAAGCGUUCGGCUCAACCGGAUAGACAUUAUCAAAACUGCUAAGCUAGAGGAUGAGAGAGGUUAUUGGAAUUCCCGGGGUAGGGGUGAAAUCCUAAAAUCCCGGGAGGAGCACCUGUGGCGGAAGCGCUCGACGAUUACGGAUCCGACGGUGAGGGACGAAAGCCAGGGGAGCAAAGCGG
This 254-nucleotide ribosomal RNA is filed under the name uncultured bacterium. RNAcentral describes it as "partial 16S ribosomal RNA". It matches the Rfam family "Bacterial small subunit ribosomal RNA", at positions 524 to 776 of the family's 1533-position model. The record is from RNAcentral.